This is a long non-coding RNA of Homo sapiens (human), 3894 nucleotides long. RefSeq lists it as uncharacterized. NCBI's taxonomy places the organism in Eukaryota, Metazoa, Chordata, Mammalia, Primates, Hominidae. The transcript is spliced from 3 exons. The record is from RefSeq and is a predicted model, not a curated record.
GCGCGGGCCUGGCGUCUCCUCCUUGCCAUUGUCCGCCCGCCCGCGCAGCUGCCAGGCUGCCUCCCGGAUUCCCUGGGCUUUGCAAAGUCCCAUAGAAACCCGCAGGACGCUUGCAAUACUCGAGGUUAUUUUCUGCUAAUCACCCGGCCCCGUCGUCGUGAGCAUAUAUGCAAUAUCAGACCAGCAAUUACCGUCAGCCUGGCCCUGGGCAAAUGUGUUUCUGCUAAUUACACUUGUUGCAUUUGAAUGGCUUUCUUCAGCCAAGCUGCACGGCGAAACCUAGUGAACAAUAAAAGAGACCAUUUCCCCUUCCGCCCCGCCCGAAGCUGCAGAUGGCCGCCCUGUGUGGAAGCAGUAGCGCCUGAAUUAACCUUUUGUGUGCACCAAAGAAGAUGGAGUGUUUGGAAGGUGCCAGAAGGUUCCGGCAAUGGACUUUUACCGCUACGAGGUGUCGCCCGUGGCCCUGCAGCGCCUGCGCGUGGCGUUGCAGAAGCUUUCCGGCACAGGAGCCCAGAGCAUGAACGCAUUCGGCCAUGGUCCUCACCACUCUGCGAGGAGCACAGCCUCUUCUCCACCGUCCGAUAGCGUGUUCCUCCUUUCCCAGGCCUCACAGAAUGCUCUGUCUGCAUCCUCCCAGCAUUCCAUUCAUGAUGGCCGAGCUGUUCUCUAAGAGAUACUGCUUUGUCUUCCUUUUGAUCUCUCAACACAAGCACUUUUAAAAAUUCAUCCAUGGCGAAGGAGGCUUGUUCCAGCACACACCUCAAGACUCAGCCUCAACAAGUUUCCCAGACCCAAAGUUGCUUCUGCAUUUUUAGGAAUUUGUCACAGCCGUGCCGCUACUUCCCGGUGCCAAUUUUUCUCUUGUUUGAGUUGCUGUCACAAAAAUCACAUGGCGUGGGUGGCUGAAACAGCAAACAUUGAUUUCUCAGAGCUCUGGAGGCUCCCCCAUAUUUGGUGUCUGGUGGUGGGUGGCUUCCUGGUUCAUGGGUGGCAUCUUCCCCCCGUGUCCUCAUGUGGCAGACGGGGCAAGGGAGCGCUCUGGGAUCUCUUUCGUAUGGACACUAAUCCCACCUGCAUGGGCGCCGUCUUCAUGACCUAAUUACCCCCAAAGCCUUCACCUCCUAAUGCUGUCACACUGGGGAUCAGAAUUCCAGCACUUACGUUUGGGGAGGAUGUCAACAUUCAGUCUGUAUCAUAGCAUGUGUAUUCUAUGACCAUAGUGUAUCUCAUUGGUUAGUUUUUAUAUUUGAACUAAUCUUAUAUUCCUGGGAUAAGUCUUACUUGACCAUGCUGUAUAAUUCUUUUUAUAUGUUUCUGGAUUUAGUAUCUUAGUGUUUCGUUGAGAAUUUUUAUGUCCGUAUUUAUAAAGGAUAUCUCUUAAUCUUUUGAUAUCUUUGGUUUUGGUAUUAUAGUAAUACAUAACUUGUCAAAUGCAUUAGUCAGGGUUCUCUAGAAGGACAGAACUAAUAGGAUAGAUGUGUAUAUAAAGGGGAGUAUUUUAAGGAGUAUUGACUCACAAUCACAGGGUGAGGUCCCAUAAUAGGCCCUGAGGAGCAAGGAAGCCAGUCUGAGUCCUAAAGCUGAAUAACUUGAGGUCCGAGGUUCGAAGGCAGGAAGCAUCCCGCAGGGGAGUAGCGUGUAGGCUGGAAGACUAAACUACUUUUGUGUUCUUCUGCCUGCUUUUAUUCUGGCCAUGCUGGAAGCUGAUUAGAUGGUGCCCACCCACAUGCUGGAAGCUGAUUAGAUGGUGCCCACCCAGACUGAGGGUGGGUCUGCCUCUCCCAGUCCACUGACUCAAAUGUGAAUCUCCUUUGGAAAUGCCCUCACAGACACACCCAGGAUCAAUACUUUGCAUCCUUCAAUCCAAUCAGGUUGACACUCAAUAUUAACCAUCACAUCAAGUUAAUUGAAGAGUAUUCUUUCUUUAUUUUUUUUGGAAGACUGUGAAAGAAUGAUGUUAAUUCUUCCUUAAACAUUUGAAGUGAAGCUAUUGCAAAUGGAAGCCAUCUGACCAUGGGCUUUUCUUUAUGAGGUUUUAAAUUACUCAUUGAAUUUCCUUAAUUAUUAUAGGCAUAUUCAAAUUUUCUAUUUCUUCUUGAGUCAGUUUCAGUAGUUCAUGUCUUCAUAGGAAUUUGUCAAUUUCACCUAGGUUAUCUAGUUUGUUGGCAUAUGAUUACUUAUAGUAUUUCUGUAUAGUCCUUGUAAUUUUUAUGUCUGUAAGAUCAGUAAUAAUGUCUUUUCAUUCCUGAUUAUUUUUUGAGUUGCUUUCUUAGUGUUUGCUAGAAGAUUAAUAUUAUUUAAUUUUAUUAACACCAAGUUAAUAUUAAUUUAUUAAUUCAAAUUAACAUUAAGAUCUUUAUAAUAAUCUAGUUGAAUUAAUACCAACUUAAUUUUCAAACACUCUCUGUCAUUUUUUCUCUUUCCCUCCUUUGUGCUGUUAUUGUCAUGAAAAUUAUAUCUUUAUAGAUUGUAUGUUUAUCAACAUGGAUUUAUAAUUAUUGCUUUAUGUAGGUUUUUUAAAGAAAAUUAGGAGAAAAUAAAUGUUACAUACUCAAAUAUUUGUUCUGUCUUUCAUAUUUACUAAAUAAUGACCUUUACUGGUGCUGUUUAUUUCUUCAUCUGGAUACAACUCACUGUCUAAUGUCCUUUCAUUUUUGCCUAAAGUACUCCAUUUAGAACUUGCUAGGGAAGGGUUGUUGGAAAAAAUUCUCUUUGUUUUUUGUUUGGGAAUGUAUUGAUUUCUCCUUUAGUUUUGAAGGAUCGAUUUUCUGAAUAUAGAAUUCUUGGUUGAUAGACUUUUUUCUUUUAGGACUUUGAAUAUAUCAUUCCACUGCCUCUUGGCCUUCAUAGUCUCAGAUGAGAAAUUAGUUGUUAAUAUUAUUGAGGAUCAUUGCCUAUUUUCUGUUGCUUAUCACAGAAUAUCUGAAACUGGGUAAUUUAUAAAGAAAAGGAAUUUAUUUAUUACAGGUAUCUGGGCUGAGAAGUUCAAGGUUGAGGGGCAGAAUCAGGUAAGGGUCUUCUUGCUGUUGGGGACUCUCUGCAGAGUCCUGAGGUGGCACAGGGUAUCACAUGAUGAGGAGGCUGAGCAUGCUAGUGUGCUAGCUCAGGUCUCCCUUCCUCUUCUUAGAAAGUCACCAGGUCCCCUCUUGUGAUAACCCACAUGAAUUAAUUCAUUAAUUCAUGAGUGGAUUAAUCCAUUCAUGAGGGCAGAGCCCUCAUGACCCAGUUUCCUCCUCCCUCCUGAUACUCCCAAAUUAGGGAUUAAACUUCAACAUGAGUUUUGGAGGGGACAAAUAUCUAGUCCAUAACAUGUGUGACAAGUUGCUUCUCUCUUACUGCUUUCAUUAGAUUUACUUUGUCUUUGGGUUUUGAAGGUCUGAUUUUGAUGUAUCUAGGUGUGGCUGUCUUAGAGUUUAUUCUACUUGGAGUUCAUUGAGUGUCUUAGAUAUGUAGAUUCAUGUUUUCCAUCUAGUUUUGGGAAUUUUGGGUCAUUAUUUCUUCAAAUAUUCUUUCUACCUCAUUCUUCCUCUCCUACAUCUGGGACUUCCUUUACGUGUAUCUCAGUACAUUGGAUGGUCUCUCACAGGUUUCUAAUUUUUUAUUAUUCUUUUUUUUUCUGUUCCUCAGACUGGAUAAUUUCAGUUGACCUAUCCUGAAGUUUGCUGAUUCUUUCUUCUGCUGCUAAGAUCUGCUGUUGAGCUGCUGUACUGAAUUUUUCAAUUAUUUUUGAAAUAUAAUUUCUAUCUUUUUAUUCAUAUUCUCUAUUUGAUGAGACACUAUUUUCCUACUUUUAUUUAGCUCUUUAGACAUUGUUCUUACAGUUUUUGGAGCACAUUAAAAAUAGCUCAUUUAGUCUGGGCACAGUGGCUCAUGCCUAUAAUCCCAGCACUUUGG